AUACGGAGAGGGCUAGCGUUAUUCGGAAUUAUUGGGCGUAAAGGGCGCGUAGGCUGAUUAGUAAGUUAAGAGUGAAAUCCCAAAGCUCAACUUUGGAAUUGCUUUUAAAACUGCUAAUCUAGAGGUUGAGAGAGGAUAGAGGAAUUCCUAGUGUAGAGGUGAUAUUCGUAAAUAUUAGGAGGAACACCAGUGGCGAAGGCGUCUAUCUGGUUCAAAUCUGACGCUGAGGCGCGAAGGCGUGGGGAGCAAACAGGAUUAGAUACCCUGGUAGUCCACGCUGUAAACGAUGAAUGUUAAAUAUGGGAAGUUUACUUUCUGUAUUACAGCUAACGCGUUAAGCAUUCCGCCUGGGGACUACGGUCGCAAGAUUAAAACUCAAAGGAAUUGACGGGGACCCGCACAAGCGGUGGAGCAUGUGGUUUAAUUCGAUGCAACGCGAAAAACCUUACCACUCCUUG
This 458-nucleotide ribosomal RNA is filed under the name Wolbachia endosymbiont of Litomosoides sigmodontis. RNAcentral describes it as "bacterial SSU rRNA". It matches the Rfam family "Bacterial small subunit ribosomal RNA", at positions 523 to 983 of the family's 1533-position model. The record is from RNAcentral. Lineage: Bacteria; Pseudomonadati; Pseudomonadota; Alphaproteobacteria; Rickettsiales; Anaplasmataceae.